Long non-coding RNA from Rosa rugosa (rugosa rose), 621 nucleotides. RefSeq lists it as uncharacterized. The transcript is spliced from 2 exons. Lineage: Eukaryota; Viridiplantae; Streptophyta; Magnoliopsida; Rosales; Rosaceae. The record is from RefSeq and is a predicted model, not a curated record.
UUGAUUGGGGGAAGGCCUUUAGUUUGAUUUAACACAUUUAGGCUACAUGUAAUCAGAAUACAUGUGAAUGCAUACAGAACAAAAGCUUUUGGAUUGAUUAUGCAUACAGAACAAAAGCUUUUGGAUUGAUUUGUACAACUCUAGAAGAUGUCUGAGCAUGGUGAGUUCGUGGGCUUGGGUUUGGUGCUACACCAUCUCGAGUCAAUGCUACUAUUCAAGGGAGUGCAAAGGUUAAAGAACUUGAAGCUACUGUAUUAAGUCUCCAAGUACAAAAGUUCAUUGUGUGCCUCUUGGACGAGAUUGUUGGAAGGUUUGGGUUGAUGUGGUGUUUGAUGAGUAUCAGAAUAUGGAAGUGUAUAGAGCAACCAUGGAUGCCAAACAACUUGGUGAAGUUGUAGGAAGCACUCUUGCAUGGCCCAAAAGCUCCAUUAAAAUGCUCCCUUAGUAGUUGAAGUAGCAGGUACAUUUUGCUUUACUAGAGAAUUUAUGUAGGUCAGGAAGUACCAUGCAUGUUUUGUGAAUGCUGAUGAACAAAGAAUCCAGUACUUUGUCAUGCUUGUUUUGUAAAGCACAUAUGUAUAAGAGAAUGUGGCACUCCUAAUGAAAUGUAUAUUUUUCAUA